RNAcentral lists this ribosomal RNA (242 nucleotides) under uncultured bacterium. RNAcentral's name for it is "partial 16S ribosomal RNA". It matches the Rfam family "Bacterial small subunit ribosomal RNA", at positions 92 to 334 of the family's 1533-position model. The record is from RNAcentral.
CGACCGGCGCACGGGUGCGUAACGCGUAUGCAACCUACCUUUAACAGGGGGAUAACACUGAGAAAUUGGUACUAAUACCCCAUAAUAUCAUAGAAGGCAUCUUUUAUGGUUGAAAAUUCCGAUGGUUAGAGAUGGGCAUGCGUUGUAUUAGCUAGUUGGUGGGGUAACGGCUCACCAAGGCGACGAUACAUAGGGGGACUGAGAGGUUAACCCCCCCACACUGGUACUGAGACACGGACCAG